UGAGGAAUAUUGGUCAAUGGGAGGAGCCCUGAACCAGCCAUGCCGCGUGCAGGACGACGGCUCUACGAGUUGUAAACUGCUUUUGUACCGGGGUAAAAUGCUCUACGAGUAGGGUUUUUGAAAGUACGGUACGAAUAAGGAUCGGCUAACUCCGUGCCAGCAGCCGCGGUAAUACGGAGGAUCCGAGCGUUAUCCGGAUUCAUUGGGUUUAAAGGGUGCGUAGGUUGUUUUAUAAGUUAGCGGUGAAAUACCGAUGCUCAACAUCGGGGCUGCCGCUAAUACUGUAGGACUAGAGAUCGGAUGCAGCAGGCGGAAUGUGUAGUGUAGCGGUGAAAUGCAUAGAUAUUGCGCAGAACUCCGAUUGCGAAGGCAGCGUACUGGCGCCUGACUGACGCUGAGGCACGAAAGCGUGGGGAUCGAACAGGAUUAGAUACCC
Molecule: ribosomal RNA, 436 nt
Filed under: uncultured bacterium
Lineage: Bacteria
Description: bacterial SSU rRNA
Rfam family: Bacterial small subunit ribosomal RNA
Source: RNAcentral